UCGAGAAUUUUUCACAAUGGGCGAAAGCCUGAUGGAGCGACGCCGCGUGGGGGAUGAAUGGCUUCGGCCCGUAAACCCCUGUCAUUUGCGACUAAACUCUGGAAUUGAACAGAUUCCAGACUGAAAGUAGCGAAAGAGGAAGGGACGGCUAACUCUGUGCCAGCAGCCGCGGUAAUACAGAGGUCCCAAGCGUUGUUCGGAUUUACUGGGCGUAAAGGGUGCGUAGGUGGUAGGGUAAGUUCAAUGUGAAAGCUUCGGGCUCAACCCGAAAAUUGCAUCGAAUACUAUCCUGCUGGAGGGUCGGAUGGGAGACUGGAAUUCUCGGUGUAGCAGUGAAAUGCGUAGAUAUCGAGAGGAACACCUGUGGCGAAGGCGAGUCUCUGGACGAUUCCUGACACUG
RNAcentral lists this ribosomal RNA (400 nucleotides) under uncultured bacterium. Its description in RNAcentral is "bacterial SSU rRNA". It matches the Rfam family "Bacterial small subunit ribosomal RNA", at positions 355 to 748 of the family's 1533-position model. The record is from RNAcentral.